This 73-nucleotide non-coding RNA is filed under the name Metabacillus litoralis. RNAcentral describes it as "Bacillus litoralis Bacterial small subunit ribosomal RNA". It matches the Rfam family "Bacterial small subunit ribosomal RNA", at positions 1 to 73 of the family's 1533-position model. The record is from Rfam by way of RNAcentral. RNAcentral also lists the same sequence under 1 other name. Lineage: Bacteria; Bacillati; Bacillota; Bacilli; Caryophanales; Bacillaceae.
UUAUUGGAGAGUUUGAUCCUGGCUCAGGACGAACGCUGGCGGCGUGCCUAAUACAUGCAAGUCGAGCGAAUCA